This 102-nucleotide non-coding RNA is filed under the name Paenibacillus sabinae. RNAcentral's name for it is "Guanine sequence". It matches the Rfam family "Purine riboswitch aptamer". Rfam says of the family: Riboswitches are metabolite binding domains within certain messenger RNAs that serve as precision sensors for their corresponding targets. The record is from RNAcentral. Lineage: Bacteria; Bacillati; Bacillota; Bacilli; Caryophanales; Paenibacillaceae.
AAACUGAAGGCAUAAACAGCUCGUAUAAAUCCGGGGAUAGGGCCCGGAAGUUUCUACCCGGGAACCGUAAAUUUCCGGACUACGGGGAAUUAAAAGACAUCA